This 105-nucleotide small RNA is filed under the name Ethanoligenens harbinense. RNAcentral's name for it is "Guanidine-I sequence". It matches the Rfam family "Guanidine-I riboswitch aptamer". From Rfam's summary of the family: This family represents a conserved RNA structure found upstream of the ykkC and yxkD genes in Bacillus subtilis and related genes in other bacteria. The record is from RNAcentral. Lineage: Bacteria; Bacillati; Bacillota; Clostridia; Eubacteriales; Oscillospiraceae. RNAcentral also lists the same sequence under 1 other name.
AUAUCUGUUUUCUAGGGUUCCGUGGAAGAAGACUUCCAGUCUGGUCCGAGAGAAAACGCACAUCGCGCAGGUGGUGUGUCACGGAGGGAGAAAAGCCCGGGAGGA